This 273-nucleotide ribosomal RNA is filed under the name uncultured bacterium. RNAcentral's name for it is "partial 16S ribosomal RNA". It matches the Rfam family "Bacterial small subunit ribosomal RNA", at positions 523 to 796 of the family's 1533-position model. The record is from RNAcentral.
AUACGGAGGGUGCGAGCGUUACUCGGAGUCACUGGGCGUAAAGCGUCCGUAGGCGGUCGGGUAAGUCGGGUGUGAAAGCCCCGGGCUCAACCUGGGAAGUGCACCCGAUACUGCUCGACUCGAGUGCGGGAGAGGAUGGCGGAAUUCCCGGUGUAGCGGUGAAAUGCGUAGAGAUCGGGAGGAACACCAGUGGCGAAGGCGGCCAUCUGGCCCGCAACUGACGCUGAGGGACGAAAGCGUGGGGAGCAAACAGGAUUAGAUACCCUGUAGUCC